RNAcentral lists this transfer RNA (76 nucleotides) under Virus Rctr197k. Its description in RNAcentral is "tRNA-Ser". It matches the Rfam family "tRNA". From Rfam's summary of the family: Transfer RNA (tRNA) molecules are approximately 80 nucleotides in length. Their secondary structure includes four short double-helical elements and three loops (D, anti-codon, and T loops). Lineage: Duplodnaviria; Heunggongvirae; Uroviricota; Caudoviricetes. The record is from RNAcentral.
GCCAGCGUAGUCCAACUUGGUAGGAGACGCAUCAUUCAGGGUGAUGACAGUGCUGGUUCGAGUCCGGCCGCUGGCA